Molecule: non-coding RNA, 432 nt
Organism: Pelobates cultripes (western spadefoot toad)
Lineage: Eukaryota; Metazoa; Chordata; Amphibia; Anura; Pelobatidae
Source: the annotation of a GenBank genome assembly
GAUUACUAUGCAAUACCAGCACUGGCCAGUAGGGGUCACUGUGUGUGGAGACAGGCAGGGAUAGGAAGUUCCAGCAUAUCCCUCCCUGCCUCUCUCUACUCACUGAUCUGCAGGGGUGCAGCUACAGAGAUUCCAGACAGCAACUCCCACCCUGCAGAGACAGCCUACAGCUCAGGGAAGUAAGGGAUGGGAGAAAGGCUGCAAGGAGACAUGGGGACACUGAGACUCUAAGGGACAUUGGGAGACAUUAUGACACAGACACAUGGGGACACAGUGUUCCCAUGUCUCCCAGUGUCCCCAUGUCUCCCAGCCAGUGUCCCUGGUGUCUCAGUGCCCCCUAGUCUCCCAGUGCCCCCAGUCUGCCAGUGUCUCACUGUCCCCAUGUCUCCUAGUGCCUCCAUGUCUCCCAGUGCCUCAAGUGUCUCAAUGUCC